AACCUUUACACUGCACGACAGUGCGAUAGGGGGACUCCGAGUGCGAGGGCAUACAGUCCUCGCUUUUCUGUACCGUAAGGUGGUACAGGAAUAAGUGCUGGGCAAGACCGGUGCCAGCCGCCGCGGUAAUACCGGCAGCACGAGUGAUGGCCGAUAUUAUUGGGCCUAAAGCGUCCGUAGCCGGCCAGACAAGUCCGUUGGGAAAUCGACGUGCCUAACACGUCGGCGUCCAGCGGAAACUGUCUGGCUUGGGGCCGGAAGACUCGAGGGGUACGUCCGGGGUAGGAGUGAAAUCCCGUAAUCCUGGACGGACCGCCGAUGGCGAAAGCACCUCGAGAGGACGGACCCGACGGUGAGGGACGAAAGCUAGGGUCUCGAACCGGAUUAGAUACCCGGGUAGUCCUAGCCGUAAACAAUGCUCGCUAGGUGUGGCGCAGGCUACGAGCCUGCGCUGUGCCGUAGGGAAGCCGUGAAGCGAGCCGCCUGGGAAGUACGUCCGCAAGGAUGAAACUUAA
RNAcentral lists this ribosomal RNA (515 nucleotides) under uncultured archaeon. RNAcentral describes it as "bacterial SSU rRNA". It matches the Rfam family "Archaeal small subunit ribosomal RNA", at positions 345 to 859 of the family's 1478-position model. The record is from RNAcentral.